GAUGAACGCUGGCGGCGUGCCUAAUACAUGCAAGUCGAGCGAACAGACGAGGAGCUUGCCCCUCUGACGUUAGCGGCGGACGGGUGAGUAACACGUGGAUAACCUACCUAUAAGACUGGGAUAACUUCGGGAAACCGGAGCUAAUACCGGAUAAUAUAUUGAACCGCUUGGUUCAAUAGUGAAAGACGGUUUUGCUGUCACUUAUAGACGGAUCCGCGCCGCAUUAGCUAGUUGGUAAGGUAACGGCUUACCAAGGCGACGAUGCGUAGCCGACCUGAGAGGGUGAUCGGCCACACUGGAACUGAGACACGGUCCAGACUCCUACGGGAGGCAGCAGUAGGGAAUCUUCCGCAAUGGGCGAAAGCCUGACGGAGCAACGCCGCGUGAGUGAUGAAGGUCUUCGGAUCGUAAAACUCUGUUAUUAGGGAAGAACAAAUGUGUAAGUAACUAUGCACGUCUUGACGGUACCUAAUCAGAAAGCCACGGCUAACUACGUG
RNAcentral lists this ribosomal RNA (497 nucleotides) under uncultured bacterium. RNAcentral describes it as "partial 16S ribosomal RNA". It matches the Rfam family "Bacterial small subunit ribosomal RNA", at positions 28 to 507 of the family's 1533-position model. The record is from RNAcentral.